This is a long non-coding RNA of Leptidea sinapis, 942 nucleotides long. RefSeq lists it as uncharacterized. The transcript is spliced from 3 exons. The record is from RefSeq and is a predicted model, not a curated record. Lineage: Eukaryota; Metazoa; Arthropoda; Insecta; Lepidoptera; Pieridae.
CAUCUAUUUUUUUUGUAUAUAUUUAUUUACCUUAACAUUUAUCUUAACCAUAUCAAAAUUCUCGUGUUGUACAUUUUUGUAACAUGAUUCGUUUCCCUACCUUAAAAUAAAUAAAAACACUGUGAAGUAAAACAUACAAGAAAAUUUGCAAUGUGAAUCGAUGAAAGAAAACUUGAAGCUGGCGGAUGCAUGGAAUGUGCGAGCCAGUCUCCAAAAAGGAGUGAAAUUAAAAAAAAUAUUGUGUGUAAAAAUAAAGUGUCAAAUCCCAAUGAAUUGGGGAAAUAAUUUGUACUGAUUUUUCCAAUAAAUUGUAAUGAUAUCAUUGUAUUAUAUAUUUUGAACACGUACUGAUAUUGUAUACACAUACAUAUGAAUUUGAGCUUUAAUUGUCCAUAAUUUUGUAAACUAUCACAAUAAAUAUAGAAAUCCUCAAAACAAUAAUUAUAAUCAAAGGAGAAUUUACUUUAUUCAGUUUUAAAUUGAACUCUGGCUUUUGUUGUAUACUGUUAAUGUUUUUUUUUUUUGAAUAAUUAUAAAGCAUUAACAACGGUAGUGUUGUAAGUGAAUAAAUUAGUUAAACAUAGAAGGUAUGUCGAAUAAUUCAAUCUAGGGAGCAAACAUGCCAAGCAUCGGAAACAUCAAUCAAGGAUCAAUUCAAUACGUUAAUAACCCUUUGCAAAGCCCUCAGUUGCAGUCGACAUCAUUACAAGGUUCACCUGUACAGCAUAGCCCUGUAAGCCAAUCACAAGUUUCUAAUAAAAAUAACCAAAGUGGUGAUCAAGCGUCACAGUUUGACUAGAUGAGGAGGUUGAAGAAGUUUUGCUGGAAUUAGCUGAUGACUUUUUGGAUGUUGCAGUAAAUGCAUCUUGCUGUCUUGCUAAACACAGACUUGCGUCUACUGUGGAGUUAAAGGAUGUUCAACUACAUUUAGAAAGACAAUGG